GACGAACGCUGGCGGCGUGCCUAAUACAUGCAAGUAGAACGCUGAAGGAGGAGCUUGCUCUUCUGGAUGAGUUGCGAACGGGUGAGUAACGCGUAGGUAACCUGCCUGGUAGCGGGGGAUAACUAUUGGAAACGAUAGCUAAUACCGCAUAAGAGUAGAUGUUGCAUGACAUUUACUUAAAAGGUGCAAUUGCAUCACUACCAGAUGGACCUGCGUUGUAUUAGCUAGUUGGUGGGGUAACGGCUUACCAAGGCGACGAUACAUAGCCGACCUGAGAGGGUGAUCGGCCACACUGGGACUGAGACACGGCCCAGACUCCUACGGGGGGCAGCAGUAGGGAAUCUUCGGCAAUGGACGGAAGUCUGACCGAGCAACGCCGCGUGAGUGAAGAAGGGUUUCGGAUCGUAAAGCUCUGUUGUAAGGGAAGAACGAGUGUGAGAGUGGAAAGUUCACACUGUGACGGUAUCUGACCAGAAAGGGACGGCUAACUACGUG
Molecule: ribosomal RNA, 495 nt
Filed under: uncultured bacterium
Lineage: Bacteria
Description: partial 16S ribosomal RNA
Rfam family: Bacterial small subunit ribosomal RNA
Source: RNAcentral